GGGUAGUUAAGUCAGGAGUGAAAUCCAAUAGCUCAACUAUUGAACUGCUUUUGAAACUGAUUACCUAGAAUAUGGGAGAGGUAGAUGGAAUUUCUGGUGUAGGGGUAAAAUCCGUAGAGAUCAGAAGGAAUACCGAUUGCGAAGGCGAUCUACUGGAACAUUAUUGACGCUGAGACGCGAAAGCGUGGGGAGCAAACAGGAUUAGAUACCCUGGUAGUCCACGCCCUAAACGAUGUACACUAGUUGUUGUGAGGCUCGACCUUGCAGUAAUGCAGUUAACACAUUAAGUGUACCGCCUGGGGAGUACGGUCGCAAGAUUAAAACUCAAAGGAAUAGACGGGGACCCGCACAAGCGGUGGAGCAUGUGGUUUAAUUCGACGAUACACGAAGAACCUUACCUGGACUUGACAUAGUAAGAACUUUCUAGAGAUAGAUUGGUGUCUGCUUGCAGAAACUUAUAUACAGGUGCUGCACGGCUGUCGUCAGCUCGUGUCGUGAGAUGUUGGGUUAAGUCCCGCAACGAGCGCAACCCUCGUCAUUAGUUGCUAACAGUUCGGCUGAGAACUCUAAUGAGACUGCCUACGCAAGUAGGAGGAAGGUGAGGACGACGUCAAGUCAUCAUGGCCCUUACGUCCAGGGCUACACACGUGCUACAAUGGGGUAUACAAAGAGCCGCAAUACGGUGACGUGGAGCAAAUCUCAAAAAUAUCUCCCAGUUCGGAUUGUAGUCUGCAACUCGACUACAUGAAGUUG
Molecule: ribosomal RNA, 753 nt
Filed under: uncultured Arcobacter sp.
Lineage: Bacteria; Pseudomonadati; Campylobacterota; Epsilonproteobacteria; Campylobacterales; Arcobacteraceae
Description: bacterial SSU rRNA
Rfam family: Bacterial small subunit ribosomal RNA
Source: RNAcentral